UCAGUUACAAGAGGAAGGAGAAAGAGGAUACUGGUUUUCCUCUGCAUAAAAAACGCGAUGGAUUCUCAAGAAUUUAUUGAAAGUCUGUGUGUCCACCAUAGUCCAGGAUAUUUUGGAAUAUUCAAGGGAAAUACAAAUCCAAGAAUUUAGCUCAGGAAUCAGCAUCAGAACAGAAUCCCCGAAGAGUAAACUAUUCAUGGAAAACAGUAGACUGAUAACAUUUGAAAAACUGAUUUCCCAUAGAAACAAUAGUUACUGUUUGACGAAUUAUACAACGUAGACCUAGGUCGUGCGAUAGCUACAAAAUACCUAAGGAAAUGGACUAGGUCGUAACAAGAAAAAGUGAUAUCAAGCCCGGGCAGAAGGGCGCACUCCCGACCUCCGCCCUGUCGCAGUUCCAGGGCGCUCCGCGCUGUCAUGAUUGCUGGGUGCGCGCUCCGUGCUGGGACAGCCGCGCACCAACAGCGGAGGGCGUUAGCACCCCAAGACGCUGCUGCAGGGGUCUGAACCGCUCCUUGGCCUACUGGCACCGGGUCCUGGACGAAAUCUACCGCGGUCCAACUGAGCUUUAUCUUGUGCGGUGACGCCCAUGCCUAGGUCUUGACACUUCCCUCCUAUGCCCUUUAUUGCCAAGGGUCGGGAUGGCCUUCGUGUCCUCUGCAGCCUCCGCCUUCCUUCUGCUGCCAGCAGCUGUAGAUUUUACCUCUUUCCCCUAACUUCCUCUCAGGCUCCUACUCCAUUCCUAUCGCGACUGCUUGAGACCGGGCCACCUCCCCCGCAAAUUACCUACUCCAGUGUCAAAAUCAGGUCAGGGCAAAUCCAUGCCAGAACGCAGUGACCUAACUUAAAUGCGACUCUGAUUGCGUUCUUCCCAGCUUAGAACUUUUGGUGUCUCCUGAUGGUCAAAGGGACCGAGGUCAACCUCCUCUGCCCCUUUCAAGGCACCUCAAGAUCCGAUCCCUUUAUAUUCCCCAGUCUUGAUCCUUCUCUCCUGCUCCAGGGGAAUGAAACACAAUCCCACAUCUGGGAUGUUACUCAUCCCCAUUGCCUCACCAGUUUUUCUGGAUUUUAUUUUAUUGUGCAAAAACAUCAAUAAAAUGAAAUUAUCCAGU
RNAcentral lists this long non-coding RNA (1112 nucleotides) under Homo sapiens (human). RNAcentral describes it as "HSALNT0335219". The record is from RNAcentral. Lineage: Eukaryota; Metazoa; Chordata; Mammalia; Primates; Hominidae.